AUGUCCUCCUCCGACGACGAGCUCCUUCUUGUCCAGGAGCUCCCCAUGGACAUGCACUCGGACGGUGGCGCUCCUCAGCGCCGCCUGGCCCACGUCCUCCUCCCUAUCGACCGUGCCCCUGGCCCGCCCCCUUUCCGCCCGCCUCCCCCUCCCUCCGCCGCCACCGCCGCCGAGUUCCGCGUCGCCUUCAGGGGCUGGCUCGGCGCCCCGCGCCACUGGGAGCUCUGGGUCGCCAAGCUACGCCCGAUCCACGAGCGCCUCUGGCGGGAACUUGGGAUCUUUGACGCCGUCCUCGCCUCCACCUACAGGAUCAAGAGGGACGCCUCCGCCGUGCUCCACCUCGCCUCCUUCUGGUCCCCCUCCACCAGCACCUUCGUCUUCCCCUGGGGCGAGGCCACCAUCACGCUCGAGGACGUCGCCGUGCUUGGGGGCUUCCCCGCCGACGGCUCCCCCGUGCCCGCGCCGCUGCCGCACCAGUGGCGCCCGGACGAGGCGGCGCUCAACGGGGUGCGCCUCGACUUCAACCGGAGCGCCUGCAAGAAGGCGCACCAUGCCGCCUGGAUGAAGCACUUCCUCACGGACACGGACAUGGACGCCGUCAUCGAGCACGCCGCCUUCCUUGCGCUCUGGCUCACGCGCUUCGUGCUCCCAGGCCACCCGGAGUCCACCAUGCGCCAGUCCCUCUUCCCGCUUGCUGUCCGCAUGGCGCGCGGUGACCACGUCGCCAUUGGGCCAGCCGUGCUCGCGUCCCUGUACCGGGACCUGCGUGAGAUGAAGACUUACUUGGUGGCCGCAGGCGCAACAGGCGGCAAUGCAGAGUUGCUGUCUCCCUUGUCAGUACAUGCGCCCCUCUACAUCCUUCAGUUAUGGAUGUGGGAGCGGUUCCCUGUACUCUGGGAUGGAAAGCCCAACCUCAUCAAGGAUGGCGAACCAAGGGCUGCUAGCUGGCAUGAUGUGAGCAAGAAGAUGAAUCCAAUGAUGAUCCGCGAGGUCCUCAAUUCGGGGAGGAACUUUUUAUGGCGGCCCUAUACCAGUUCGGAGCAAGCAUGCAAGGAUCAUAGCGGGUGGGUUCGUGGCAGUGAUAUAAACGAAGAUGAGGAAUUGAUUUCACUCGCGCAUUGCCUGCAUGCUUGUGAGCUAGUGGGGAUGGAUUGCAUUGAGCAGUACCUCCCACACCGCGUUGCAAUGCAGUUUGGACUAGACCAAGAUGUGCCUGGGGAUGUUCGCCGAGCAAAUGAGGAUUGGGGGGUUGCAUGGGAGACCUACGAUUUGGAGGGGAAGAACGUAGCCAUCUUUACCCCUUGCUCUGAACCAGGAGUCACGGCUCGGUAUGCAGAGUGGUGGACGCAGCCAUUGCCACCUGACCUUGAUGUUGGGGCAGGAAGCAUUUCUGUGGAAGGGAAGCUUUCCAAGCGUAAGGUGAAGAAGACACGGGCAGCCAUGGAAGCCGAGGCAGAAAGGGAGCGGAAAAUGAAGAAGGCUCGAGUCUCCCCUAAUAAUGAUAAAAAGCGAAAACUUGAGGAGUUGUAUGAUGCGAAGCUGUCGGAUUGGCUUGCAGCCGGAAGGAAUGGGAGCAGUGGAACGAGUGGUGGCAGCUGCAAAAGGGGAUCCUCGCCAAAAUCUGUUGCUGGAUCAGACAAGUCCCUGUCAGCUAGUGCUGGGACUAGAGAUGAUAUUGUACUUCUUGUGCCAAGGAAGCAGGUGCCAACUCCUACUGUAAACCUGAGGAAGGAUAGGGAUAUGAAUCUGGGUAGGGGAGAUGAUGGAAACUUCAUGGCUAAGUCUCUGGUAGGGACAAAGUACAAAGGUGUGUAUUUGAAGGGCUCUAUGGCAGGUGAUGUAGAUCAUUUAGUGAAUGAGCCAUAUUUUGACGAGACAGUGGUGUCAACUGAAAUCUCUACAUUCAAUGAAGAUGCCAAGGAUGAAUGGAGUGACCAGAUUUUGAAAAAUACCAGUGAGCUGAUCAGAGAGGAACCUCCUGCUGUCCCUAAUAUGCCUGAGGAGGUUAAACCUGCAGUAUCUAUGGAGAGAGAAGAAUACAGUGAUCUCUUGACUGAUGUUGAUUUCAGCGAGGAUGUCAUAGAGGAAGCUAUCACAGUUGAUAAGCCCACAAAUUUCUCCAGUGCACCUGAAGGAGGCGAUGCUGUGAUGAUGGAGGAAAAAAUAGUUAAUCUUCUUGAAGAUAAGUGUCUUGAUGCUACAGGUAGACCAGAAGAAGGCACCAUUGUUACUCAGGAGUUGGAGAAGAAAGCCAAACUUGCAGUUGACGAGUCUCGUGGUAUGUCAAAUAAACCCGAAGAAGUCGUUGCUCUUGUCACGAAAGACAUAGAAGAAAAGGGUAAUGUAGCGGUGGCUAUUGAAGGUACCGUAGUUUCAGAAGGAGUUGAAAGGGUUGGGGAGGGAACAAGUCAUUCUAUUGGAGUCUUGUCAGGGAGCAAACAAGGAGCCUAUGCAGGUGUUACGAACAAUCCUCAGGAGACAGUGGCUUUGCCUGAGGAAAUUCUUCUAGUUCAGCAGGCAAAUGAUGUUGGUGAAUGUGUUGAAAUGUCAUGCAUAAUGGAGGAUACUUGUGCUGCUGCUGGAGUGACAACAAAUGAUGAAGAAACCGCUUUAGGUUUUGUCGCCGAUGAGGAGAGGGAGAUUUCCUGUAAAGAAGAGACUGGAGGAGAAAGCGAUCAGAUGGCUAUGAAAGAUAGCGAGCAGAAGCCUCAGGAAGCUCCUCCAGUUGACAUUGUAGAAUGUGGAGAAGACAUUUCUCUUAUGGAAAAAGACAAUGAGGGUGAACACGAAAAUGUUCCUCAAACAGUGGAGGCAGUGGUCACUGACAUUAAUAUGGCUGCAGUUCUUUUAGGUGUUCCUGAAGAAGGGAGUGCAGACGUGGAUAAAGCUCUGAAUCUAACACAGAAAGACGCUGAAGAUGUGCACAAGAAAGUUGCAGAAGUAGAGGAUGCAGAACAUGUACAAAUUAAUACUAUGGCAAAUGGAGGUUCAAAUGAAGGGCACAACGAAGUUGCUGAAGUAGAGGAUGUAGACAUUGCAGAGGCAGAGAUGCGUGCACAGUUUGAUACUGAGAAACCUGAGGAAGCUACAGAAGCAGGGCAUGCAGAUAUGGAUGAUGGUAAGAGAUUAACAGGGAGAGAUACUGUUGAGGAGCCUGGAGAUGUUCUUGAAGGUGCACAUGCAGAAGCGGAAAAGGCUAGGGAGCUCAUAGAGAACAAUGAUGAUGAUAAGCUAGCAGAGUUUCCUGGUAUAACACAUGCAGAAAUGGAAGAGGUAAAGAAUUUGAUGAAGGAAGAUGCAGAUGAGAAGUUUGAUAUACAAAGUGCAAAAAUGAAAGGAGCUCAUAAGCCAAUGGAGGAAGAUACUGAUGGUAAGCUUCAGGAAGUUUUUGACGUAGAGCAUGCAGAAACCAAACAUACGAAGGUUUUGAUUAAGGGAGUUGCAGACAAGAAGUUUGAAGAAAAUUCUGAAUUGAGAAGUAUAGGGAUUGAUGGCACUCAUGGGCCAAUGGAGGAAAGCACUGAUGGUAAGGUCAAGGCAGUACCCGAAGUGAAUGCGGAAGUAGAACAAGCCAAUGGGACCAUGAGGGGCAAUGAUAGGCCCGACAGCAUCCUGCAAAUAGACCUUCCAGCAAGGGACGAAGCCGGGUGCUUGGCCAAGAAAGAUAUUGAAGAAGAUUAUGCGGAAGUUCCACAAGGAAAGCGCGCGAACAUAAACAAUGAGGCACCAAUUGAGAAAGAUGCAAAGCAGGCCAAGAAAGAUAUUGAAGAAGAUAAUGGGGAAGUUCCACAAGGAAAGCACGCGAACAUAAACGAUGAGGCACCAAUUGAGAAAGAUGCCAAGCAAAAGCCCAAUGCAGGUGGCUUGGAUUUACCAGAGAAAGAAGUCGAUGGGUCCAAAGAGGUUUACCAAGUGAAACGAGAAGAAGGGGUGGGACGCAAGGUGUUAAGGGUGAAAGAUACCGAGGAGAAUACUAAGGAUGCUCUUGGGGUUAAACAGGCAGAAGAACGACAAGGGGAAGCACUGACAGCAGGAUAUAUGUACAACUACAUUGAAGAAAUAGUGGAGCAGGUGGAUGGACAAAGCAAAACACUCACAAGGAUAGGUGUUGAGGAAAAUCCCAAAGAAAUCACUCAGGAACAGGAGAAAGAAUUUGACAACGAUACAGUGGAAUCUUUAAAGAAUUCAAUCAAUAGUUUGUUAUGUAGCCCAGCCAUCAUACAGUCAAAAGAAGGGCAGAAGGAAGUUCCUGUUGAAGGCAUGACGGAGAAGCACUGCCUUCAGGAUGUUGGGUUGAUAAAUGAGAGGGAAUCAUUGUCUGUUGGAGCUGCUAUGGAGAUUCAAGGAGUAGAUGACCACAGAACUUUGGACAUGCAUGAGGAAGUGUCUAUUAAACAGAUAGAUGAGUGUGGAAUAAUAUUCACAAAUAAGGAGACACAAAUAUUGGAAGACAGCCAUAUGGUAGGAGAUGGAUCUAACGAUUUGGUUCUUAUGGAGGUUGAUGAAACUUGGUCUACAAUCGAAAUUCAGAACCAGGAGGCUUUGGACUUGGACAAGCAACAAACAACUGAGGAAAGACAAGAUUUAGGACCUACAAUCGAGAACAAGAAAAUGGCAAUGUUAGGAGAUGUCAUUACGCUUGGGUGCUGUGAAUUUCAAGCUGAUUCACCUGAGACCAAAAUUAAUGAGGUCCUGUCUACCAAAGGAAUACAGAAUCAGGAGCAUUUGGACAUUAAGGAAGAACAAGCAUCGGAAAAAGAAUUGGGGUGUAUAAUCACAGAAGGAAAUGCAAGACCCUUGGUACUGGUCGAUACACUUGGUGGUGGUGGAGCAGAUACCACUGUGGCUAUCGUGGAUGUUAACAAGGCUAAUUGUGUUGAAGGAAUACAAAAUAUGGAAGCGUGCGGCAUUGAGGAGGCAAGGCAGGACAAACAGGACAAUGGUGUUGGAGAUGGGAGGAUCUUGGAAGACAUGAGCGCCAAUGAUAGUGGUGAUGUGGGAACACGGAACCAGUGGGAUUUAUGCAUGGAGAAAGAACCGGCGGUGCUGGAGAAGCAGGACGAGGGAACAGCAGAUGAGAACACAGGGAGAAUGUUGGUUGACACAGAUGCUCCUGAAUGUGGUGAAGCGAAACCUGAUGGGACCUUGAAAAUGAAUAAUGAUGUUCUUUGUACACAAGCUGUUAAUAUGGCCGAGGAUAAAAUUUCUUUGCAAAACCAGCAGAAAUGUGUGCCAUUGGGAGACCACAAUAAAUCAGAUCCACAGGAACCGGCGGUGCUGGAGAAGCAGGAUGAGAGAACAACAGAUGAGAACACAGGGAGAAUGUUGGUUAACACAGAUGCACCUGAAUGUGGUGAAGCGAAACCUGAUGGGACAAUGCAAAUGAAUAAUGAUGCUCUUUGUACACAAGCUGUUAAUAUGGCAGAAGAUAAAGUUUCUUCCCAAAACCAGCAGAAAUGUGUGCCAUUGGGAGACCACAAUAAAUCAGAUGUUGAAGACUCUGGAUGGAAUCAAGCUGCAAGAAAAGAGUCCAAGGGGGCUCUUCAAUCAGAGUCUGAACAUGAGAUCGAAGUGAAACAAGAAAUUUUAGAGAAUGAUGAAGCGUCUGAACAAGAGCAGACCUACACAGAGAGUGCCUCAGUUGCUCCUUCAGGUAUGGAUCACCGGGGUGAGAAUAAUAACAAAGGGGCUGAAGAAUCGAUAAGAAACUAUGGGAAGCAUGUUUCUGAUACAGUAAACACAGGUUGCCAGCCCAGUAAAUUUGGCCGACCAAGUACUGAAGAGGUCAGGAGAAUACAUAGUGGCAGUAUAUCUGUCUAUCUGAAAGACAUCACAGUAUAUCAGGAAAGAAUUCGUUCUGAUCCAUCAAAGAGUACACAUGUAAACAAUGCUGGGUAUUAUUCUCGACAUGGAGCUCUGGAACCAGUUUCAGUCAGCAAGGAUAUCAAAGUUCCAUUGCAUGACAAUGGGAGGGUUUGUGGAAGAGAUGGUGCACUGGAGUUGGUGACAGGUCCACCAGAAGAGACGCCUCGAUGGAGACAAGAGCAAUAUGCACUUAAUAUUUUAGAAGAUGUGCAAAAUGCUCGCAUUGCUGAGAAAACUAGGAUGGAGAUGGAGAUCAGAAUACUGAAGGCACAGAUUGCUAGCAUGCAGAGACAAGUGAUGAACAUGGAUCAUGUUGGUGAGGUUAUUUCCAGAUCAAAAAGGCAUUGA
This 6213-nucleotide ribosomal RNA is filed under the name Triticum aestivum (bread wheat). Its description in RNAcentral is "partial small subunit ribosomal RNA". The record is from RNAcentral. Lineage: Eukaryota; Viridiplantae; Streptophyta; Magnoliopsida; Poales; Poaceae.